AAACAGCUCUGUGCUUAAAGCAUUUGAUGCAUUACUAUCUCUGCCUAGCUCUACCAUAGUAAGACAGAGAUGCUUGGUUUCAAACAU
Small nucleolar RNA from Nannospalax galili (Upper Galilee mountains blind mole rat), 87 nucleotides. Its record names the gene SNORA63. It matches the Rfam family "Small nucleolar RNA SNORA63". Rfam says of the family: E3 belongs to the H/ACA class of snoRNAs and is involved in the processing of eukaryotic pre-rRNA and has regions of complementarity to 18S rRNA. NCBI's taxonomy places the organism in Eukaryota, Metazoa, Chordata, Mammalia, Rodentia, Spalacidae. The record is from Ensembl.